Molecule: transfer RNA, 73 nt
Filed under: Ixodes scapularis (black-legged tick)
Lineage: Eukaryota; Metazoa; Arthropoda; Arachnida; Ixodida; Ixodidae
Rfam family: tRNA
About the family: Transfer RNA (tRNA) molecules are approximately 80 nucleotides in length. Their secondary structure includes four short double-helical elements and three loops (D, anti-codon, and T loops).
Source: Rfam by way of RNAcentral
CCCUGGUUAGCUUAGUUGGCAGAGCACUGCACUGGAAAUGAAGAGGUCCCGGGUUCGACAUCCGGACCAGGCG